CCUACGGGGUGCAGCAGUGAGGAAUAUUGGUCAAUGGACGAGAGUCUGAACCAGCCAAGUAGCGUGAAGGAUGACUGCCCUAUGGGUUGUAAACUUCUUUUAUAUGGGAAUAAAACGUUCCACGUGUGGGAUUUUGUAUGUACCAUAUGAAUAAGGAUCGGCUAACUCCGUGCCAGCAGCCGCGGUAAUAAGGAGGAUCCGAGCGUUAUCCGGAUUUAUUGGGUUUAAAGGGAUCGUAGGUGGAUUGUUAAGUCAGUUGUGAAAGUUUGCGGCUCAACCGUAAAAUUGCAGUUGAAACUGGCAGUCUUGAGUACAGUAGAGGUGGGCGGAAUUCGUGGUGUAGCGGUGAAAUGCUUAGAUAUCACGAAGAACUCCGAUUGCGAAGGCAGUUCACUGGACUGCAACUGACACUGAGGCUCGAAAGUGUGGGUAUCAAACAGGAUUAGAUACCCUUGUAGUC
RNAcentral lists this ribosomal RNA (460 nucleotides) under uncultured bacterium. RNAcentral describes it as "partial 16S ribosomal RNA". It matches the Rfam family "Bacterial small subunit ribosomal RNA", at positions 338 to 795 of the family's 1533-position model. The record is from RNAcentral.